AUUGGCUGCUUGUUUAUAUAAUACAACUGUUCUAGAAAGUAGAAAGUAUGUAAACGAGGGGAAAUUCUCCCUGUAUGAUGACCGAGAAAGACAGAUGUUCACUGUGAGUAUCAAACAUGCGACUGAGCAGGACUCCGAGGAAUACUGGUGUGGAGCUGAAGUAGACUGGAAAUCUGAUCAUGGAUACAAGGUUUAUUUCACACGGAUCGACCUGACCGUUACUGGAUUUCCAGUUUCCUCUGUGAUUGCUGUGUGUUUAAGUCUGCUGGUGCUCCUGAUUGGAAUCCCAUGCCUCAUUGUGAUGCUCCAAAAGAGAUGCCCAGAAACAAUGACGCCAGCUUUCAGAGGGACCAAUGGAGAUCAUGAAAAUAACCCAGAUGUGCUUCCUCUUCAAUCAAGACAAAACAUCAGUCUACCAGAGACUCCCUACCAGGGUCUGAACCGCAACACCUUCCAAUCAGAUUCAACGUACCAAAGUCUCAUGCGUUAAACCUAACAACCAGAUUCCGACUACCAAAGUCUCAAAUAAGGCUGAUGGCUUUUCCAUUAACCUGGAUUGGUCUUGAUUCAAAAUCCAAU
Ictalurus punctatus (channel catfish) is the source of this 579-nucleotide long non-coding RNA. Lineage: Eukaryota; Metazoa; Chordata; Actinopteri; Siluriformes; Ictaluridae. The record is from Ensembl.